RNAcentral lists this ribosomal RNA (468 nucleotides) under uncultured bacterium. RNAcentral describes it as "partial 16S ribosomal RNA". It matches the Rfam family "Bacterial small subunit ribosomal RNA", at positions 28 to 507 of the family's 1533-position model. The record is from RNAcentral.
GACGAACGCUGGCGGCGUGCUUAACACAUGCAAGUCGAACGGAAAGGCCCUGCUUUUGUGGGGUUCUCGAGUGGCGAACGGGUGAGUAACACGUGAGUAACCUGCCCUUGACUUUGGGAUAACUUCAGGAAACUGGGGCUCAUACCGGAUAGGAGCUCCUGCUGCAUGGUGGGGGUUGGUAAGUUUCGGCGGUUGGGGAUGGACUCGCGGCUUAUCGGCUUGUUGGUGGGGUAGUGGCUUACCAAGGCUUUGACGGGUAGCCGGCCUGAGAGGGUGACCGGCCACAUUGGGACUGAGAUACGGCCCAGACUCCUACGGGAGGCAGCAGUGGGGAAUAUUGCAGAAUGGGCGGAAGCCUGAGGCAGCAACGCCGCGUGCGGGAUGACGGCCUUCGGGUGGUAAACCGCUGUCGCCUGUGACGAAGCGGGAGUGACGGUAAUGGGUAAAGAAGCACCGGCUAACUACGUG